UGGCUCUCGCAUCGAUGAAGAACGCAGCGAAAUGCGAUAAGUAAUGUGAAUUGCAGAAUUCAGUGAAUCAUCGAAUCUUUGAACGCAACUUGCGCCCUCUGGUAUUCCGGAGGGCAUGCCUGUUUGAGUGUCAUGUAGUAUCAAUCCUCCAGGUUUUCCUGGAAAGAUUGGAUUUGGGUGUCUGCCAUUCCUAAUGGCUCGCCUUAAAUGGAUUAGUGGAAAGAUUGACCUAAAUUGGGAGUAAUAAGUUUCUCUUGAUCAAGUUGAUUAGACCGCUCAUAACAACUAUAUUUAUGACUCUGACCUCAAAUCAGGUAGGACUACCCGCUGA
RNAcentral lists this unclassified non-coding RNA (331 nucleotides) under uncultured fungus. Its description in RNAcentral is "partial contains 5.8S ribosomal RNA and internal transcribed spacer 2". The stretch from base 1 to 133 matches the Rfam family "5.8S ribosomal RNA", at positions 22 to 154 of the family's 154-position model. Lineage: Eukaryota; Fungi. The record is from RNAcentral.